UCCAGAAGAGCAAGAUACUUCAGAGAUGCUUUACUGAUCAAUUCUGCCAAACUGAGUGCAAGUUUUGAAGGAGAUGCUUUAUGGGAUUCAUUUUCCAGUUGCUGACUUGACUCAUCAUGCUCCAUUAAGACAGAGUUGUGCAAGCCUCCAUUAAGCAAGCCUCAGAAAUGGAAAACUGUGUCUUAUGGUUAUUUGAUGCGACAUCUAAGACUACGUUUUCAAUAAAACAGGAACCAAGCAGACUAUAUGGAAUGAGCCCAGAAAAUGGUUUUAUAAGAAGACAGCAUCAGGGUCAAUGCUUACGUCUGCCCUUUGCCACAGUUCUCCUUCAUUGUUUCAUGCAGAAAUAACUCACAUUUUAUGAUUAAAAAAAGUUUUGUUCUCAAGAUUCACUGCGGUGCUCACAUACACAUUGUCUGCGUUGAUUUUACAACAGAUAGGAAGAUACCGCCUUUCAAAUCGAUUUUGUGAAAAGUUAAACGUGAAAAGCUGCUCAACUUCUGUAUGUUGUGACAAAACUGAGCUGCACAAAACUGAACUGCCUCCCAACUUUGUUUCUACAUCUGUUUCAUUCAUUUGUAUUUAUUAUAAUUAUGUCUAGACUUGGUUUGCUGCAUUAUUUUAAACCUUUUUUCGCUUUUUACUUUUUUGCUUUUUUUUUUUUGCUUUUCUGUCUUUUUACUUUGACUGCUUACUUGGAGUAAAUAUUUUACUAAUUCUAUUUUAACUGAGUAACAAUGUGUCUAUAGAACACUAUAAUGUUAUAUUAGUUUUUGGGGGAAUCAAUAGGUAACUAACUGUGACAGCUUGGAAAUCAGAGAUCUAAUAUACCAUACUGGGAAGCAUAGACUAUCCUGGUUCUCAGGUAAGCAUGUGCCAUCAUUACUACAUGCCUGAGGCAACAGUUACCAUAUGCACUGGGAGUGUUGCCAUUAGAUUUCCAGGGAGGGUUCUACCAGAUUUUAAAUUAGGAAUGACCUUUAGAUAAAAUGGCAAGAUCUAAACAAUUCAG
RNAcentral lists this long non-coding RNA (1012 nucleotides) under Struthio camelus australis. RNAcentral describes it as "lncRNA (ENSSCUG00000013470.1)". The record is from RNAcentral. Lineage: Eukaryota; Metazoa; Chordata; Aves; Struthioniformes; Struthionidae.